AGUGAACGCUGGCGGUAGGCCUAACACAUGCAAGUCGAACGGCAGCACAGGAGAGCUUGCUCUCUGGGUGGCGAGUGGCGGACGGGUGAGGAAUACAUCGGAAUCUGCCCAGUCGUGGGGGAUAACGUAGGGAAACUUACGCUAAUACCGCAUACGACCUUCGGGUGAAAGAGGGGGAUCGCAAGACCUCUCGCGAUUGGAUGAGCCGAUGUCGGAUUAGCUAGUUGGCGGGGUAAUGGCCCACCAAGGCGACGAUCCGUAGCUGGUCUGAGAGGAUGAUCGGCAACACUGGAACUGAGACACGGUCCAGACUCCUACGGGGGGCAGCAGUGGGGAAUAUUAGACAGUGGGCGCAAGCCUGAUCCAGCCAUACCGCGUGGGUGAAGAAGGCCUUCGGGUUGUAAAGCCCUUUUGUUGGGAAAGAAAUCUUUCAGGCUAAUACCCUGGGAGGAUGACGGUACCCAAAGAAUAAGCACCGGCUAACUUCGUG
This 490-nucleotide ribosomal RNA is filed under the name uncultured bacterium. RNAcentral's name for it is "partial 16S ribosomal RNA". It matches the Rfam family "Bacterial small subunit ribosomal RNA", at positions 29 to 507 of the family's 1533-position model. The record is from RNAcentral.